GUCGGUCCCAAGGGUUGGGCUGUUCGCCCAUUAAAGCGGUACGCGAGCUGGGUUCAGAACGUCGUGAGACAGUUCGGUCCCUAUCCGUCGCGGGCGUAGGAAAUUUGAGAGGAGCUGUCCUUAGUACGAGAGGACCGGGAUGGACGCACCGCUGGUGUACCAGUUGUUCCGCCAGGAGCACAGCUGGGUAGCUAUGUGCGGAAGGGAUAAGCGCUGAAAGCAUCUAAGCGUGAAGCCCCCCUCAAGAUGAGAUUUCCCAUCGCGUCAAGCGAGUAAGAUCCCUUGAAGAUGACAAGGUUGAUAGGUCCGAGGUGGAAGCGUGGCGACACGUGCAGCUGACGGAUACUAAUCGAUCGAGGACUUAACUAAG
RNAcentral lists this ribosomal RNA (370 nucleotides) under Anoxybacillus flavithermus AK1. RNAcentral describes it as "bacterial LSU rRNA". It matches the Rfam family "Bacterial large subunit ribosomal RNA", at positions 2558 to 2925 of the family's 2925-position model. The record is from RNAcentral. Lineage: Bacteria; Bacillati; Bacillota; Bacilli; Caryophanales; Anoxybacillaceae.